This is a long non-coding RNA of Xiphophorus couchianus (Monterrey platyfish), 889 nucleotides long. RefSeq lists it as uncharacterized. Lineage: Eukaryota; Metazoa; Chordata; Actinopteri; Cyprinodontiformes; Poeciliidae. The transcript has 3 exons. The record is from RefSeq and is a predicted model, not a curated record.
CUGAAGUCCUCGGUGUCCCGCAAACUGGCUGCUGCUGCCUGGAUGGGGAGGAAGAGGAGGAUGAGGAAGAGGAGGAGGAGGUUGACUGCUUCACUGCCCCGCUGCUUCCGCUGCAGUGUGUCCCUGCAGCAGCCCCGUGGGACCCCGGUCUGGCCCUCACAGAUGCGUCCAGGCUGCAGGCGGUGUUUAGAGCGUGGUGGGAUCCCUGUUGUUAUGCGGCUGGAUGCUGCAGCCUGGGGCCGUGAUGAACCGAGUCCCUCACAGGCCAGUGGCCUUCCACUUCAACUGUCAAACACAGGGAGGCUGCUGCAGAGGAGAUGGCAGGACGGAAAAAAAUAAAAAUAUUCACUCUUGUCAGUUGUUAAGGCUGAAAGGAGAAUACUCUGAAUGUAACGACAUUAUGAAUGAAUGUAUUCUCAUUUUUUCUUCACAUCCAGCCGUCUAUGUUUGCAUCCAAUAUAAGAGAACUUUAUUUUCACACUUUUCCAGCUUAUAAUCUUUUUUAUUUUUAUCAAAUUAUAGCCAUUAUUCAAUAUACCGCCAGAGGGUUGUGCCUAAAGGGGAUGUGUUGUGGAAAAUUCACAUUUUGCACAUUUUUGUACUUCAACUUGGGUCUCAACUGCUUCUAAAAAACAAUCCAAGCGCUAAAAAAAGGACACCAGCUGUGUUUUUGGGAUGAAGUUAAUGUUUUUGCUCCUUGAAAAGCCUCCGGAAUGUAACGUCACAAAUCAGCAAAGAUUGCCCGUUACCUAGCAACCCCAGCAAAAUUCCGCCCGUUACCUAGCAACCAGAGCUGAAAUCCAGCACCUUUGGUCAGCUGGGUUUACGCCUGUACACAGCACAAACAACAAACAUUACCAAGUAUUGCUGGUCUAGUUUCCAGUGCAAA